RNAcentral lists this long non-coding RNA (4557 nucleotides) under Gallus gallus (chicken). The record is from RNAcentral. Lineage: Eukaryota; Metazoa; Chordata; Aves; Galliformes; Phasianidae.
AGGGAAUGGCUUCAAGCUGCACCAGGGAAGGUUCAGGCUGGACGUUAGGAGAUACUACUUCUCUGAAAGAGUGGUCAGGCACUGGAAUGGGCUGCCCAGGGAGGUGGAGUCACCGAGCCUGGUGGUGUUCAGAGAGUGUUUGGAUGUUGUGUUGAGUGACAUGGUUUAGCGAGAACCAUUGAUGAAGGGCGAAUGGUUGGACUGGAUGAUCCUGUGGGUCUUUUCCAACCUUAGCGGUUAUGAUUCUAUGAUUAAAUCUGAUGACAAAUUUGGUAGAUGCCAUCACAAAGAAGUGUUAUGGUAUCCAGAAAGAACCAGAAUAGUUUGUGGUUCAGUGUGAUGGUAAUGAGUUAAAAUGUAAUAAUGUGACAUCUAAUUUAGAAUUUUAUUUAUUAGAUAAGAACAAUUAUGGUACAGAGAAUAAUUCAUUGUAAAUGGAUAAGAAGGAUUCAGUCCCGUACAUUAAAGUCAAUCACAGCAUGACUAUGUAUUACCGGUGUGUGAAACAGUGAAAAAUUUGAAUGUGAUCCCAACAUAUAUCUGAUCAGGUAUCUCAAGCAGAAGCCUUAAAGCGAUAUGAUCACAGCUUCUGAGACUUAAUUUGCAAUCUGUGUGAAAAAGCAAAAGCAAUUGCCUAUAUUCAGGAACAACUGAAGACAGAGCAGUUAAGAUAACUGACAGAAUGGAAAUCUCGUUUUAUGAGGAGAAUAAAAGAGACUGCUUUUUCUGGCAUUUAAAAGUGAAAAUGGACGUGAAUGGACAUGUUAUUACUAAGAAAAUUAGAUUACUAAAAGUAACUAGAAGUUAUUAAAUACAAGGACAAUCUUGACACAAAAAUAAAUUACUGCAAACUGUAGAUGAAUUCAAAGAACAUGUAAAGCAAAAUGUUUCUGUGCAAUUAAAAGGAUACUUUGGAACAUCUAGUUCUUUAAAAUAAUAAAAUUAUAAAUGCUGGACAAAACUAUUAAGGAGAUUAUAUGUUCUGGUUACAAGUAGAAACAAUAGACUCAACAUGCUGCCCUUGGUCUGUUUCUCAAAGCUGAUGUGUAACUGUUUUUUGUGCUGUAAUUGAUGGAGAUAGGCAAGCCUUGAAAAGCUCUGCCUGUUGGAGCUCUACAUGUUGGAGCUUCACAAAGAAUGGACAGUUUCAAAUUUCUUGAACUUCCGUCUUCAGGCUGAAGUGCAAGUGUGUUAACCUGGUUAGAAUAAAAAUAGCAGAAUAAAUCAGUGAGAGGUGAUCCGUUAAAUAAUACUUUUAGUGGCAGGUAUUCAUGAAAUUUGUUCUUGUAUACAUCAAAACAAACUUCCACUUUAAAAUAAGCUAACAAAUUUCAUACAGUUUUUCAAUGUUUAUCUGUCAUUUUGCAUUUUUCUUAAAUGGAUCCAUCCACUUUAUUAAUAACUUAUUACAGUUCAGCAGCAUAACUGUCUUAGAAAUUACAUCCUAAGGUAAUGAAAGGAAGGAAUUGUAUGCUUCUGAGUUGAAGUAAUUGGUGCUUGAACUUGAUAGUGCUAAACUGCAGUUUCUGAAUUCAUAUGUGUCUAGUGUUUGCCAAGAUGUAUUAAAACCAGAACACAUUGCUAGCAUUCUUGUAUUUUGGCUUCAGUAAAAUGAUAUUUUUCUUAUUUCAAGUAUUAUAACUAUACAGUUUGGACUAGUUCCAGUGCUGGUUUUCAGCAUCAUGAAUCAUUCGAUAAUUAACUUUCCAGAGCCAAGAUAUUAAUUAUUUAAUUGUUUUUCUCCACCUGAGAAGUCAUAGAACAAAAGGUUUUGGUGACUUUUGUUCAUGUUUAUUCAAAUCCCUUUCAUCAGAAAGUUGAGCUGCAAAUCUUGUGAGAACAGUCUCUCUCAAAAUGUUCCUCAAUCCAGCCUGAAAAUGAUUCAAAAAAUGGCUUUAUUUUUUGUUAUUUCACAAAUUUCAGUUCUCUUCCUGUGUCAGAACUUAAUAUUGCAGACCGAAGGUGGAAAUGAUAAAAGUUCAGAGAUUUUAUAUAAGUAAAAUUCCUAUUUUGGGCAGCUGAGGUUUACUGUCUGAGCUAGGGGCAAUAGUUUUAAUGUUACAUUAGAUGGAAAGUUAUUUGAGAGUCCGAUGGCUCUGAUCUGAGUUUGCUGAAUGACUCUGUGCAGCUAUACAUAUACAUACCUUCUUUUAAAUGGAGCAAAAUCAUACUUUGUAAAAAAAAUCUGUAUUUAUUUGUCAACAGACUACACACAACCUGAAUAUUUAAAAGGUCAUUUUUGUUGUAGUCACUAUUGUAAACAUUAUUAUUGCAGCUUCAUCUGGAAGUUUUAUGAAUGGUCAAAUAAACUUAAUUACUGCUAAAAUUUGGUCCUAAUGCAUAUUUAAUUUUACUAGAUUCUUUUGAAAUUACCCAUCAGUGGUGAUGUGUUUAAGCAUGUGUUUUCCCAAAUAUGCUUUUCUUAAAUUCUAAAAUUAUUCUAACUUGUUCAUUAUUUUUAUUACUGAUUAAUAUGUGUGAUACGUUUGCAUCAAUUAAUAGUUAAACUGUGAUUUGUAUAAGAAUCAUAAUUGCUUACACGAUGCUUCACUCCCUUGCAAUUUUCCAAUUGCAUAAUAAUAAAAUCAAAUGAGUGUUUUAUUAAGAGAAAACGUUCCCUCCCAAGGAGUUUGAAAAAUGCCUCAAAUUAUAUCUGACCAAGCCUCUACUGUUGUACCACUAGCUUUAUAACUGAUAUAAUGGUUUACAACUGUGGUACCUGACAUAUGUCAUAUUAACUAGUACAAGUAACUAUUUUAUUAAAUGUAUGCAGUUUGAAAAACCUAGAAGCCUUCCCAUAUGAAGCAGUGUGAAAACAACAAUUCAUAUUGUCUAUCUUCCAUCCAUGGCUGGGCAAAGAUCUCAGGUCACAUAGGUUUCAAUGACAACAUUUACUACAAGUCACUGAGAUAUAAAAAAAUUGGACAAAUGAAACACUUGCGGUUUAACAGAAUAAGAGAAUGACAGUUUGUCUCCAUCCCCAGGCAAGAAGAGAAGGCUGUUUUAUUUUAAAGGUGAUGCAAGACAUUAGACAUUGCUUGCUACUUACUGUAGCUGUAGCUGUAUCACUCAGUGUUCACACAAUGUUGAAAGCUAAGCUUUCUAAAUAAUUUCAGUUGCAAGCUCUGAGGUCAAGGUCUAAAAUAAUUGCCCAAGCAGCAUAACUAAUAGCUGCAGUUCUUGAAACUUGGCACCUACUUCCAGCAAGGAUAUUCAGAAUAACAAAUUUGGCUGAGGGAAAGACAUCUUUAACAUACAGUUUUAUGUGUGAUGUCUUUUUCACUUUAAAAUGUUGUAGUAAAAUAAAGUUUGAAGAUCAAGAAGUGGUCCACAGAUGCCAGGAUAUGAAAACAGUUUUAGUCAUCUUCUGGUUCUCGAAUUUCUGCAUCACUUUUUGUUUAAUGCCCAGCUUCAAUAAAUCAGAAUAGGAUCCUUCCCAAAAUUUCUAUGUAUCUUCAUUCUCCAGAAUCACCAAGGCCCAAAUAUUCUCAAUAGCAUGCCUUAGAAUAUUUUGGGGAAAAUAUAAGGAUAGAGUUAAAUUUCUGGACAUUGGGGAAGGCAAUGGACUCAAUAUUCUCACAUUUAAAAUUAUUUAAUAUAGUUCUAUUAUAGAAAUUAUGUGAUAAAAGUUACUGUUGCAGUGACACUAUGUGAAACCAGUGAUUUAUGCUAAAACCUGAAUUUGGAAGCAUUCAUACUGAAUGUUAUUUCAUCAAGGGCAUGCAGAUUUGAAUAUUUCUUUCCCUUGGUCCUGAAAUGCAGUUGCUGUAAGCAGGGGCUCCAUAACUCAGAAUGCUUCUUUGCUGGAGUGACUGGGGAGGAAAUGUGAAGGCUGAAUUGGGAAGUGAUUGAUGAGCUUGGAGUGCAGAGCUGGAUUAUGGGUUUUCUGGGUUAUGGUGCUGAACUAAUGCACAUACCUUUUGGUAAAACUCUAGCUUAGGUAUUGAAAUAAGUCCUCUAGGUCUUCUGCUGUGAAACUAUCAGGUCAUGCUAAUAAUUGCAGUUUAGAAGCUAUGGAAUUUAACUUCAUAUCCACUGACGAUCUGUUUUCCUCACAGGUAAAAUAAGACUACUUUAAUAUUCUUCAGUCACUGCUUUAAGACCUUCUAAGAAUUAAUUAAGAGCCUCUAACAAUUAAUCCAUAAUAGAGUGUGUAAGCAUACAGUCAAGUGGUCAGAACAUAUGAAAAUCUGCUCUGGGUGUGCUUAUUCCAACAUUACAAGGAGGAGGUAAUUUUGAUGGUUUGAUGAUCACUGUUUUCACAAUAGUUGAAAUACAACAAUGGUAUAAAAUAUUUUUAAUUAUGACGCAUUUGCUUGGGGAGGAGAGAGCAGUAACGUAGUGAAUCUAAGAGAAAUAAUUGCAUGACAAAUCUUCAAACACCUAUCAAACUUAGGAAAUCAAAGUGAAAUGCUGAUAUUCGAGUGAAAUGAGUUGCCUUUGAAUACAGCUAUGAAUGUUAUUAAGCAGCACAAAUUUUAUAGUCAGACAUAAACUUUUACUGUACAAAAUAUCAGCACUGAAAUCAAACAAUGUCAUAACAAAUAUAUAUAUGAA